RNAcentral lists this long non-coding RNA (789 nucleotides) under Mytilus galloprovincialis (Mediterranean mussel). The record is from RNAcentral. Lineage: Eukaryota; Metazoa; Mollusca; Bivalvia; Mytilida; Mytilidae.
CGUUUUCGAAAGUUUUUGAAAAUAAAUCUACAUUUUUUAUAACAUUUUGGUUUCAAAAUAUGAAAUACCCUUUUAUAUUUCAAAUCUGAAAUAAUUCCUUUGAAAAAUGAAAAAGUUAUUAGCAUUUUUAUUUGGUCCUGUCAUUCUCGAUGUUGGUCCUGUCAUUAUCAGAGUUGGUCAUGUCACGUUUUCUAAAGUUUCUUACAAAACGUUUUUAUUUUUUUUCUUAAAUCUAUUUAUCAAAUGAUGAAAUCUUAUUAUAUUUAAAAUUUGAGAUCAAUCCUUUGAGAAAUGAAAAAGUUAUUAGCAUUUUUCAUUUGGUCCUGUCAUUCGGUCCUGUCAUUCGGUCCAGUCAUUAGUGUAACCCAUAUAUAUGGGUUACACUAAAGACCCGAAAGUGGACCUGAAAAGACCUGAAAAGACCUGAAAAGACCUGAAAAUAUACGACUAAAAUUAUUCAAAUUGCAAUAACUUUUUUAUUAUUGAAUGGAAUUUCUUCAAGUUGGAAUUUUAUUUAUUGUAAAUAUUUAUAUUUCAUUAAAAUUUAAAAAAAAUAAAUAAAAAACAAGUUUUUGAUGCCAAAAGUUGGACCUGAACGGAGAAAUGAAAAGACCUGAAGGGACCUGAAAAUCUAUGUCGGACUAGUUCUAACUACAAUAACUUUUUUAAUAUUCAAUGGAUAUCUUUCAACUUUUGAUUUUGUGACACAAAAAGUUCAAUAUAAUGAUAAAAUUAAAAAAAAAAAUAUGAAAAAUACCAUUUGGGUGUGAAAACUCGGAACUGAACGGA